AUUGAACGCUGGCGGCAUGCCUUACACAUGCAAGUCGAACGGCAGCACGGGAGCAAUCCUGGUGGCGAGUGGCGAACGGGUGAGUAAUAUAUCGGAACGUGCCCGGUCGUGGGGGAUAACGUAGCGAAAGCUACGCUAAUACCGCAUACGAUCUACGGAUGAAAGCGGGGGAUCGCAAGACCUCGCGCGAUUGGAGCGGCCGAUAUCAGAUUAGGUAGUUGGUGAGGUAAAGGCUCACCAAGCCGACGAUCUGUAGCUGGUCUGAGAGGACGACCAGCCACACUGGGACUGAGACACGGCCCAGACUCCUACGGGAGGCAGCAGUGGGGAAUUUUGGACAAUGGGCGCAAGCCUGAUCCAGCAAUGCCGCGUGCAGGAUGAAGGCCUCGGUUGGUAACGUAGCGUUUGUUACGGUAACGAAACCGGUAGGAG
This 432-nucleotide ribosomal RNA is filed under the name uncultured bacterium. RNAcentral describes it as "bacterial SSU rRNA". It matches the Rfam family "Bacterial small subunit ribosomal RNA", at positions 29 to 462 of the family's 1533-position model. The record is from RNAcentral.